This 229-nucleotide ribosomal RNA is filed under the name uncultured bacterium. RNAcentral describes it as "partial 16S ribosomal RNA". It matches the Rfam family "Bacterial small subunit ribosomal RNA", at positions 568 to 796 of the family's 1533-position model. The record is from RNAcentral.
UGCGCAGGCGGGCUUGUAAGUCAGUGGUGAAAUACUGCCGCUUAACGGUAGAACUGCCAUUGAUACUGCAAGUCUUGAAUAUGGUUGAGGUAGGCGGAAUGUGUCGUGUAGCGGUGAAAUGCAUAGAUAUGACACAGAACGCCGAUUGCGAAGGCAGCUUACUAAGCUAUUAUUGACGCUGAGGCACGAAAGCGUGGGGAGCGAACAGGAUUAGAUACCCUGGUAGUCC